UCCGUAGGUGAACCAGCGGAGGGAUCAUUACAGAGUUAUCCAACUCCCAAACCCAUGUGAACUUAUCUCUUUGUUGCCUCGGCGCAAGCUACCCGGGACCUCGCGCCCCGGGGGGCCCGCCGGCGGACAAACCAAACUCUGUUAUCUUCGUUGAUUAUCUGAGUGUCUUAUUUAAUAAGUCAAAACUUUCAACAACGGAUCUCUUGGUUCUGGCAUCGAUGAAGAACGCAGCGAAAUGCGAUAAGUAAUGUGAAUUGCAGAAUUCAGUGAAUCAUCGAAUCUUUGAACGCACAUUGCGCCCAUUAGUAUUCUAGUGGGCAUGCCUGUUCGAGCGUCAUUUCAACCCCUAAGCACAGCUUAUUGUUGGGACUCUACGGCUUCGUAGUUCCCCAAAGACAUUGGCGGAGUGGCAGCAGUCCUCUGAGCGUAGUAAUUCUUUAUCUCGCUUUUGUUAGGCGCUGCCCCCCCGGCCGUAAAACCCCCAAUUUUUUCUGGUUGACCUCGGAUCAGGUAGGAAUACCCGCUGAACUUAAGCAUAUCAAUAAGCGGAGGAAAAGAAACCAACAGGGAUUCCCCUAGUAACUG
This 585-nucleotide ribosomal RNA is filed under the name Nigrospora sp. BAB-3264. RNAcentral's name for it is "eukaryotic LSU rRNA". The stretch from base 184 to 337 matches the Rfam family "5.8S ribosomal RNA". The record is from RNAcentral. Lineage: Eukaryota; Fungi; Ascomycota; Sordariomycetes; Amphisphaeriales; Apiosporaceae.